UACGGGGGGGAGCAAGCGUUGUUCGGAUUUACUGGGCGUAAAGGGCGCGUAGGCGGCCACUGCAAGUCAGUUGUGAAAUCUCCGGGCUUAACCCGGAAAGGUCAACUGAUACUGCAGGGCUAGAGUACAGAAGGGGCAACUGGAAUUCUCGGUGUAGCGGUGAAAUGCGUAGAUAUCGAGAGGAACACCUGCGGCGAAGGCGGGUUGCUGGGCUGAUACUGACGCUGAGGCGCGAAAGCCAGGGGAGCGAACGGG
Molecule: ribosomal RNA, 255 nt
Filed under: uncultured bacterium
Lineage: Bacteria
Description: partial 16S ribosomal RNA
Rfam family: Bacterial small subunit ribosomal RNA
Source: RNAcentral